Long non-coding RNA from Drosophila ficusphila, 357 nucleotides. RefSeq lists it as uncharacterized. The transcript has 3 exons. NCBI's taxonomy places the organism in Eukaryota, Metazoa, Arthropoda, Insecta, Diptera, Drosophilidae. The record is from RefSeq and is a predicted model, not a curated record.
ACUUUUAUAAUGAUGAUUUCCUUUUGGUUAGUUAAGAUCAAGAAAAUCACAAAUUAACAUAUGCAUGUAGCUGCUGAAUUUAUACAACCAAAAAGAUUUGAAAAAUAGGAUCUGUUAUUAAGUAUAAACCCAUGCACAUCUGUAUGAGUGCUCGUAUUCUUAAAAAAUGUUAUCAUCCCAGUGGAAAGCUAUAACUUGCUGUAACUAAUUUUUCCAUGGUUUCCUGGGAAAACACAAUGAUUAUAAGAUUUCAGAUACCUCGACGGAUAUCCGGACGAAAAAAACGGACAACAACACCAAUCAAUCAAAAUGCAACAGUGGUUCUGGCAGAUUCGUAGUGGGAUACCCCUUGAUUUU